Cinara cedri is the source of this 208-nucleotide non-coding RNA. Lineage: Eukaryota; Metazoa; Arthropoda; Insecta; Hemiptera; Aphididae. The record is from the annotation of a GenBank genome assembly.
GUUUGUAUUUGACGAAUCACCGAUCACUAAUGUACUCUAGAUGAUCCCAGUCUCAUUUUGUUUUAUUUUUUCAUAGCCUCGAUUACUUUGGUAAGUAAACAAAAUUAUUACGGUGUUUAAUAACAUCGUGUUUGGAACAACUGCCAUUAAUCCGAAUAAUUUGAAGAUUCCGAGGUCUUGCAUUUUUGACCCCAACAUUGUUGUUUCA